This 514-nucleotide unclassified non-coding RNA is filed under the name Hevea brasiliensis (rubber tree). The record is from RNAcentral. Lineage: Eukaryota; Viridiplantae; Streptophyta; Magnoliopsida; Malpighiales; Euphorbiaceae.
UUUCAUUACAGAAUGUACACCACAUUUUCAGUGGAAAUAAUAGAGCACCACCAAAUGAAACACAAAGUGAAAGGACCAGCCAAUCCAUGGUAAUCAUCUGGGAAAAAGCAUGCACAGGAAAAAGAACGCUUUUUCAGUUGUUCGACUCAUAGUUGAGCCUGCAAUGUGCUUGACACAAUCGAUAGUCUACUUCAAGAACUAGGUAGAGGAAAUGCUACUUGGUUUUCUUUAGGAGACUUGAUGUUCUAAACUCCGCAUCAUCCCUGACAAAGCACCACCAAAGGUAGGCAAGUGGGAUGGUACUAGCAUGCCAAAGAGCAUGUGCAUCAACAAAUCCCUGAUAUGGUGGGAAGUCAAAUAUUUCCAAGAGCACAGCGAGACCUCCACCCACAACCACCACCCACAGCUUCCACCGGGAUGGAUGACGAGUCAUACCUGCCCAAAUUGUCCAAAUGAGCAGCUGAGCUACACCCAUGGCUCCACAUACUUUCAUGUUCAGGCCAUAAUCAAGAUU